GCCCAGAAUAGAAUUUUAGUUCAACUUUAAACUUGCCUACAAAACUUAAAAAUUUUAAUGCAAGUUUAAAAUAUAUUCUAAAAAGGUACAGCUUUUUAGAAUCAAGGAUACAACCUUACUUAGAGAGUAAGUAUUAAUUAAGUCAUAGUAGGCCUAGAAGCAGCCAUCAAUUAAGAAAGCGUUUAAGCUCGACACCCAUAUCAACUUAAUACCAAAAAUAUCUAACUAACUCCUAAUAUAACAACUGGGCUAAUCUAUUUUAAUAUAGAAGCAAUAAUGCUAAUAUGAGUAACGAGAGAUAUCUCUCCAAUGCAUAGGCUUAUACCAGCAACGGAUAACCACUGAUAGUUAACAACAACGUAGAAAUAGUCCAACAAUAAAACAUCUACCAAACCAAUUGUUAAUCCAACACAGGUAUGCAACUAAGGAAAGAUUAAAAGAAGUAAAAGGAACUCGGCAAACAUGAGCCCCGCCUGUUUACCAAAAACAUCACCUCCAGCAUUUCUAGUAUUGGAGGCACUGCCUGCCCGGUGACAUUAGUUAAACGGCCGCGGUAUUCUGACCGUGCAAAGGUAGCAUAAUCAUUUGUUCUCUAAAUAAGGACUUGUAUGAAAGGCCACACGAGGGUUUAACUGUCUCUUACUUCCAAUCAGUGAAAUUGACCUUCCCGUGAAGAGGCGGGAAUAAAAUAAUAAGACGAGAAGACCCUAUGGAGCUUCAAUUAACUAGCCUAAAAGAUUCUAUCUACCAGACCGACAGGAACAACAUACUUCUUCUAUGGGCUAACAAUUUGGGUUGGGGCGACCUCGGAGCAUAAAACAACCUCCGAGUGAUAUUAAUCUAGACAUACCAGUCAAAAUGCUCACUUACUUAUUGAUCCAAAACUUCUUUGAUCAACGGAACAAGUUACCCUAGGGAUAACAGCGCAAUCCUAUUUAAGAGUCCAUAUCGACAAUAGGGUUUACGACCUCGAUGUUGGAUCAGGACAUCCUAAUGGUGCAGAAGCUAUUAAGGGUUCGUUUGUUCAACGAUUAAAG
RNAcentral lists this ribosomal RNA (1037 nucleotides) under Ursus americanus (American black bear). RNAcentral's name for it is "partial 16S ribosomal RNA". It matches the Rfam family "Bacterial large subunit ribosomal RNA", at positions 856 to 2593 of the family's 2925-position model. The record is from RNAcentral. Lineage: Eukaryota; Metazoa; Chordata; Mammalia; Carnivora; Ursidae.